GCGGAAUAGCUUGUGUCUUGUGUGCCGUUUAAUUUAAUUUUAUGUUGCCUGCUCUACUACUGCAUAUUAAAUCUGCGUAGAUACUACUUUUAAAUGUAUAACGGUGCGCCGUAACCUCGAUCCGUCCCAAGAUGGCCGCUUAUCGCCGCCAUAUUGUUUGCAGAGCGCCGGCGCGCGCUGCGCAAGAGACUCUUCUAUUCCCAUCUUCAACCGCAUAUUUACCUCAUCCAGUAUAAGACCUCAAGACCUGUAUAAAAUAGACUGAAACAAAAAUACAUUUUAGAUUGGUUUGUGAGAGCAGUAAACCGAUGGAAAUGAGUUGAGACCUGUUUUGUAUAAGGUCUCCUUGCGCCUACUUUUAUGCUAAUAAGAACUUUGGGAUUAUUCCGUUUGCGUAAUUGUGGAUUUUAUUUGGAUUUUCGAUGUCUAUAAAAAAGGAUAAAAAAAUAGUUUUUUGAGAUUUUGAUAUUUUAAUUCUGUGAGAACUGUUUGAACGGUUUGCAGGUAACCUACUUUGUAACAUGAUACGAGUACCUAAGUAUAUGCAUUCUCUGUAGUUCGAUUAUAUCGAAAACUUUUAUGAAUUAAGGCUAUGCUAUGCGGCCUUCGUGUAGACAUCAUCAAACUAAUUUUCUUACUUUCGUGUUCGGUCCUUUUGUUAGUCCUUAGUCAUGCACUAACCGUCUACUUCUGAAAAACUGCACCUGUACAUCCUCAAUAUGGGUGUAUACUUUUGUAUUGUCUAUAGAAAUAAGUGUAACAAAAUACUAGCCCGAAUAACUACUAGUUAUUGGUAGAUGAUCGUUUAGCAAACAGAAGAAACGUAGAUACUGUAUCAUAAAAGUAUGUAGAUAGGUAGAUAGGUACCUACCUACACUUACUUUAACCAUAUCGUGUUGUCACACAGUAUGUAAAUUGUGUUCAACCCUUUUUAA
Long non-coding RNA from Leguminivora glycinivorella, 935 nucleotides. RefSeq lists it as uncharacterized. NCBI's taxonomy places the organism in Eukaryota, Metazoa, Arthropoda, Insecta, Lepidoptera, Tortricidae. The transcript is spliced from 3 exons. The record is from RefSeq and is a predicted model, not a curated record.